CCUACGGGAGACAGCAGUGGGGAAUAUUGCACAAUGGGGGAAACCCUGAUGCAGCGACGCCGCGUGAAGGAAGAAGUAUUUCGGUAUGUAAACUUCUAUCAGCAGGGAAGAAAAUGACGGUACCUGACUAAGAAGCCCCGGCGAACUACGUGCCAGCGGCCGCGGUAAUACGUAGGGGGCAAGCGUUAUCCGGAUUUACUGGGUGAAAAGGAAGCGUAGGCGGUUUAGCAAGUCAGAAGUGAAAGCCCGGGGCUCAACUCCGGGACUGCUUUUGAAACUGUUGAACUAGAGUGCAGGAGAGGUAAGUGGAAUUCCUAGGGUAGCGGUGAAAUGCGUAGAUAUUAGGAGGAACACCAGUGGCGAAGGCGGCUUACUGGACUGUAAAUGACGCUGAGGCUCGAAAGCGUGGGGAGCAAACAGGAUUAGAUACCCCAGUAGUC
RNAcentral lists this ribosomal RNA (440 nucleotides) under uncultured bacterium. RNAcentral describes it as "partial 16S ribosomal RNA". It matches the Rfam family "Bacterial small subunit ribosomal RNA", at positions 338 to 795 of the family's 1533-position model. The record is from RNAcentral.